GAUGAAGAACGUAGUGAAAUGCGAUAAGUAGUGUGAAUUGCAGAAUUCAGUGAAUCAUCGAAUCUUUGAACGCACAUUGCGCCCCUUGGUAUCCCGAGGGGCAUGCCUGUUCGAGCGUUAUUUCACCACUCAAGCCUGGCUUGGUGUUGGGCGACGUCCCCUUUGGGGACGCGCCUCGAAACGCUCGGCGGCGUGGCACCGGCUUUAAGCGUAGCAGAAUCUUUCGCUUUGGAAGUCGGGGCCCCGUCUGCCGGAAGACCUACUCGCAAGGUUGACCUCGGAUCAGGCAGGGAUACCCGCUGAACUUAAGCAUAUCAAUAAGCGGAGGA
RNAcentral lists this unclassified non-coding RNA (329 nucleotides) under soil metagenome. Its description in RNAcentral is "partial contains 5.8S ribosomal RNA, internal transcribed spacer 2, and large subunit ribosomal RNA". The stretch from base 1 to 120 matches the Rfam family "5.8S ribosomal RNA", at positions 35 to 154 of the family's 154-position model. The record is from RNAcentral.